GAACCAUCUCAUUGUUGGACUCCCUCCUCCCCCAUUUAAAUUUUCAUUUGGACAGCCCCUUAGUAGUGGUCACCAAGGGCCAAGCCUAUGAGGCCAGGCUGUGUUCUACGGGCGGACAGAGAAUGCCCCCUCCUCCCCUCUUCAUGGGGCUAACUCUGCCAGACUUGCUUGGAUAUCCACUGCUCUGAGCCGUGGACCUCAACUUCAUUCAGAAAUGGAGUGUCUGGACAUCAUUGUUCCUUUUGUAGUUCACUGGGAAAUCUCAACAUGCAAAUGGGAGGGAUCCCUGGGUGGCGCAGCGGUUUGGCGCCUGCCUUUGGCCCAGAGCGCGAUCCUGGAGACCCGGGAUCGAAUCCCACGUCAGGCUCCCGGUGCAUGGAGCCUGCUUCUCCCUCUGCCUAUGUCUCUGCCUCUCUCUCUCUCUGUGACUAUCAUAAAUAAAUAAAAAUUAAAAAAAAACAAACAUGCAAAUGGGAACCAGAAAAACAGUUUACUUGAGGGAAACAUGGCUCUUUUCUGUAUGCAAAAUAUAGUAAAAACCAUAUGCUCAUGGAAAAGUUGUUGAACUUGCAAUUUUAUUCUUUUUCUUAUUAAUAUUUAUUUCACCAUUUGCCAUUUGUUCACUUAUUUUGUGAAAAUCUCCACUCAAAAGUAGAUAAGCA
Molecule: long non-coding RNA, 662 nt
Organism: Canis lupus familiaris (dog)
Lineage: Eukaryota; Metazoa; Chordata; Mammalia; Carnivora; Canidae
Exons: 3
Source: RefSeq, a predicted model, not a curated record